RNAcentral lists this transfer RNA (85 nucleotides) under Felis catus (domestic cat). It matches the Rfam family "tRNA". From Rfam's summary of the family: Transfer RNA (tRNA) molecules are approximately 80 nucleotides in length. Their secondary structure includes four short double-helical elements and three loops (D, anti-codon, and T loops). Lineage: Eukaryota; Metazoa; Chordata; Mammalia; Carnivora; Felidae. The record is from Rfam by way of RNAcentral. RNAcentral also lists the same sequence under 3 other names.
GCCUGGGUGGCUCAGUCGGUUGAGCGUCCGACUUCGGCUCAGGUCACGAUCUCACGGUUCGUGGGUUCGAGCCCCGCGUCGGGCU